RNAcentral lists this ribosomal RNA (253 nucleotides) under uncultured bacterium. Its description in RNAcentral is "partial 16S ribosomal RNA". It matches the Rfam family "Bacterial small subunit ribosomal RNA", at positions 524 to 776 of the family's 1533-position model. The record is from RNAcentral.
UACAGAGGUGGCAAGCGUUGUUCGGAAUUACUGGGCGUAAAGAGCGUGUAGGCGGCCAGGUAGGUCCGCUGUGAAAACUCGAGGCUCAACCUCGAGAUGUCGGCGGAAACCAUCUGGCUAGAGUCCGGAAGAGGAGAGUGGAAUUCCUGGUGUAGCGGUGAAAUGCGCAGAUAUCAGGAAGAACACCCGUGGCGAAAGCGGCUCUCUGGAACGGUACUGACGCUGAGACGCGAAAGCGUGGGGAGCGAACAGG